GGGCGGGACACGUGUUAUCCUGUCUGAAUAUGGGGGGACCAUCCUCCAAGGCUAAAUACUCCUGACUGACCGAUAGUGAACCAGUACCGUGAGGGAAAGGCGAAAAGAACCCCUGUGAGGGGAGUGAAAUAGAACCUGAAACCGUGUACGUACAAGCAGUAGGAGCACCUUCGUGGUGUGACUGCGUACCUUUUGUAUAAUGGGUCAGCGACUUAUAUUCAGUGGCAAGGUUAACCAUCUAGGGGAGCCGUAGGGAAACCGAGUCUUAACUGGGCGCCAUAGUCUCUGGAUAUAGACCCGAAACCGAGUGAUCUAGCCAUGGGCAGGUUGAAGGUUGAGUAACAUCAACUGGAGGACCGAACCGACUAAUGUUGAAAAAUUAGCGGAUGACUUGUGGCUAGGGGUGAAAGGCCAAUCAAACUCGGAGAUAGCUGGUUCUCCCCGAAAGCUAUUUAGGUAGCGCCUCGGACGAAUACUACUGGGGGUAGAGCACUGUUAAGGCUAGGGGGUCAUCCCGACUUACCAACCCUUUGCAAACUCCGAAUACCAGUAAGUACUAUCCGGGAGACACACGGCGGGUGCUAACGUCCGUCGUGGAGAGGGAAACAACCCAGACCGCCAGCUAAGGUCCCAAAUUACAGCUAAGUGGGAAACGAUGUGGGAAGGCUUAGACAGCUAGGAUGUUGGCUUAGAAGCAGCCAUCAUUUAAAGAAAGCGUAAUAGCUCACUAGUCGAGUCGGCCUGCGCGGAAGAUGUAACGGGGCUAAGUUGUAAACCGAAGCUGCGGCAAUGUUCUUUGAACAUUGGGUAGGGGAGCGUUCUGUAAGCCGUUGAAGGUGUGUUGUAAAGCAUGCUGGAGGUAUCAGAAGUGCGAAUGCUGACAUGAGUAACGACAAGGGGGGUGAAAAACCUCCCCGCCGGAAGACCAAGGGUUCCUGUCCAACGUUAAUCGGGGCAGGGUAAGUCGACCCCUAAGGCGAGGCCGAAAGGCGUAGUCGAUGGGAAACGGGUUAAUAUUCCCGUACUUCUUACAAUUGCGAUGGGGGGACGGAGAAGGCUAGGUGGGCCUGGCGACGGUUGUCCAGGUUCAAGUGCGUAGGCU
This 1102-nucleotide ribosomal RNA is filed under the name Vibrio vulnificus. RNAcentral's name for it is "partial 23S ribosomal RNA". It matches the Rfam family "Bacterial large subunit ribosomal RNA", at positions 415 to 1526 of the family's 2925-position model. Lineage: Bacteria; Pseudomonadati; Pseudomonadota; Gammaproteobacteria; Vibrionales; Vibrionaceae. The record is from RNAcentral.